GGAGACCUAGAAAAGAUAUCCAUGAGAUCUCCCUUUCUCUUUGAAGACACCAACGACGCUCCUCUCCUCUCUUUAACAGAGAACUGGCAACCUCCCUCCAUGAAAUCUCAUCUCUCACCCUCACUCACACAAAAACGUUAAGACUCAACCUUUUUUUCUCUCUAAAAAAAUAAUAAUAAUACAACCAGAAAUAGAUAGAUUUUAGAAAGGAUUUUUUUUCUUCUGAAAACUGGUUCCUAUCUUCAUUUUUCUGGAUCUGCUUUCUUCCAAAAAAUACUGGAAAUUUCAAUAUUCUGCUGUAGUUCUAUAUGGUUUGCUGUUGAUUUAUUCAAGUUGUUGUUGUGCUCCAUCUAAAUUUGGCCUUCUCUUAGUGUUUUUCUUGCUUUGAAUAGGUAAGUUCAAACACUCUUGUAUUUUCAUUUGUCUUGAGUGAACGAGUUUCAGAUUUUCAUGUAAUUUGGCUUGAAUUCUCAUACUAGUUUAGCUAUGUGAACUAAGUGCUUUCAUUAUUUUGACUGGAUUGUGAAAUCAUGUAAGCUUUCUUGGUUAUUUUUUUUUUUGCUUUUGUCACUGACUUUAUCGUGAUUUAUUCAGAUACAUUCAUAAUAUCUUGUGCCUGUUUAAGUGAUUUCCUAUAGUAGUUAAUGAUGAAGAAGAACUGGAGUGACUAAAUGUUUGGUUGUAGUUCAUGGACUUGACCAUUAAUUGGCCAGAUUUGCAAAAAACUUCAAAGCAAAUCAACAAGUUUUCAGAAGUGUUUGGAUUUCACUAUAGAUCUUCAUGUCUAAAUUAAGGGCUAAACCUCUUAUGUUUGGGUUGUAAUGUUAUUUUAAGCAUAAGAAUUCAUUUUAUUGUAAAUGUUAGAACUUAGCUAGGUUAAUUUAUGAAGAAUAUGAAGACAGGCGACUGUUUCUGACAAAAAAGAAAAAAGAAAAAAAAAUAUGGUCACGAUACGUAAUUCCCAAUUCGGGAGUGCAUUUCAUGUGGCCCUAUUAUAACAACUUCGAAUAAUAAACCUUUGAAAUAAAUUGAGGCGUGUCAUGCCAAACAAAACCUAUAACACAUGGCCCUCACAAAAUUAGCUCAAAAGCUAAUCUUUUUAGAAGAUAAUUUGAGGUGUGCCAUACGCAAACAAAAUCCAUAUCCUAUGGCCCUCACAUAAAUAAAAAAUAUUUUAGUGUAAAAAAUGCCUUGAACUUUCAUAGUUUGCUUUAAGCGCGUUAAUUAAAUAAUUGUCGUAGCUACGGGUACGGUUCCCGUGACGUAGUCGUGAUGCUUAUUACUAAAAUCCGGGGAUACAUUUAUGUGACCUGACCACAAUUUAAUCUUUAAACAUGUUGUAGAUCGUGGGUACGGUUCCCAUGACAUGAUUCGUAAUAUGUAACAAUAAUUAUUAAAAGCGGUUAUAAAGUUUAAAAAAUGCAUAAUAGGUUUAAAACAUAUAGUAAAUCAGAUAAUAGGCCAAUUAUUAAUGGUUUAAGCGACCGUGCUAGAACCACGGAAUCCAGGAAUGCCUAACACCUUCUCCCGGGUUAACAAAAUUCUUUAUCUAGAAUUUCUGGUUCGCAGACUUUUGAAUAAAGUCGAAAAUUUCUUCGAUUUGGGAUUUAAAAUAAAUCAUGACUUGGAACACCAAAUAAACUAUUUCAAGUGGCGACUCUGAUAAAUUAUUUAAUCCCAUUUCGAAUAAUGUCACUUUAAUUGGAAAAACUCCCUUAUAUACCCCCUUGGGUGGUAAAAAAAGAGGUGUGACAGCUCUGGCGACUCUGCUGGGGAUCGAACCCAGAAUCUUUGGUUCAGGGUUCAAGAAUUCAAGCUUAGAAUAAUUUUUAUAGUUGGCUUUUAUUUAUUAUCUGAUUGUUUAUUAUAUGUUUGGGCCUAAUGUGCUAAAUGUCGCUUUUUACCUUCUUGAUAUUAUUUGAACUGUAUAUAAACUGUUACGUAAACCUUCUCUUCUCAUCUUUGGGGAUGUCACGCUUGUGUGACUCCUUUUCUGUUAGUGUCAUACCUUGAAUUAGAAGGAGGCUCGGACAAGUUACAAAGUCGGAUGACCUUUUGGUUCCCGGUACGUAGUCCCCCUUGGCUCGAGUUGUCCGCUCGGGUAAACCAAGUCUAGAAUAAUACACCUAGGUUUUAAACCUAGAAUAACUCAGCCUCAUACCGGAUCCCUAGUAGGAACGCUUGUUUGCAUCAUGUGCAUUUGACUUUGGGGACUCAACACAGGGGUUCGGUCCAUCUGGGACAGGUGUACCCAAAUUAAAAAAGACCAUCCUGAUGCAUCUUACGUACUACUUGUACAAUUAUUUGAUUCGGCUUGCAUGUUGACCGGCUUCUAGAAGGAAAAAGAAAAUCAAAAAAAAGGUGAGAGGUAGAUAUCUAGAAAAUUCUGAAAUUCUGCCAAAAUUUUGAAAAAAAAAGUGAUUUCAAAAUGAGUCAAAAUUUUCAAGUGCUAUGUUUCCCUUGUUCUGUCAAAACUGACCGAACUACGCGAACCUGAUUCUCACCGGAUGUGAGAUAUGUAGACAAACCUCAUCGGUUCCGACCCCAAUUUUCAAAAAAAAAAUCCAAAAAUAUUUUUUUUUAGUUCCUUUUUUAGAAAUCUUUCGUUAGAAAAUUCAAAAAAAGAGAAGUUUUUAAACUCAAAAAUAGUUUCCUUCUUUCUGAAGUCUUUCAUAUGGAAAAAGAAAUAAAAAAAGAAAAAUCAAAAAGAAUAAAAAACCGAAAUACGGGUUUCCUUUAUCUUGAAGAAUUUUUUCAAAAAUUAAAAAACCAGAAAAAAGAAUUAAAAAAAAAAGAAAUAUUCUUUUCCUUCUUUAAAAGUAUUUCUUUCGUAAAUGUCAACAAAAAAAUUGAAACAUUAAAGUCCAAAAAUAUUUUUUGCUUUUCUUUAGAAGUAUUUUUGUAAAUAAAUAAAAAGCUCAGAAAUUCAAAACAUUUUCUUAAAAGUGCCUCUUUCGAAAAUUAAGGGGGCAACAUCCCAAAGACAAAAAUAUUUUCUUUCUUCUUUAGAAAAAGGGAAAACAAAUGAAAAUUCAAUUUAUUUUUUUUACUUUUGAAAAUUUGAAAGUUCAAAUCAAAAGAAAAAGAAUUUUUAGAAGUCUUUCUUUCAAAAAUAAAAGAAAAAUCAAAAUCAAAAUCAAAAAUCCAAAAAAAAAAUUCCCUUUCUUCUUGUAAAGAAAAAAAAAUCAAAAAUCAAAUAUGUUUUUCUUUUGCUUAAAGCUUUCAUGGUCUGAGUUUUAUAAAAGUAAACCAAAAAAAAGAGUUACCUUAUGUACUCCAUUCUCUAUCUUCCCGAACUAUACAAGAUCUGAUUCAUGCGGCGUCAUGAUACGUAGGCAAUCCUCAUCGGAUUCGAUCAUAGCCAUAAAAUUAACUGAGUGAAAAAUAAACUAAACAAAAAGAGAAAAAAAUUGAGUGAAAAAAAGAGAAAAAGAGAGUGCAAAAAAUAAAAGAGUGGCAAAAACGAGAUGAAAAAAAUAAGAGUGAUUAAAGAGAGGCAGAAAUGAAGAAAAGAGGUACAGAGUUAAAAGGGUUAGUUAAGGCCGGGAUAAAAUAUGCAACCGUUCGAACAUACGGUAGAAGCGUUUAACUGUUAGGUGCAUUGCAUCCUAACGUGCGAUUUCCUAUAUGUUAAAUGUUUCAAAACUAACAAGGUUGUUGGAUGUGCAAAUGUGAUGACCUUUGUUUUAAAAUAAAAUUCUGUGUUCUGAGACCUUAAAAACAUCUUUUAGCAUCACCUAGAUUUGCGUGCGCAGUCCGAGCACGUAGCCGCAAAGCUAUUAUGUGAAAAUCUGUGAAAAAUGAUAAACCCGAACCCGUGAUUUGAUGAAAAAUGAUAAACCCGAAGCAUCACCUAGACUUCGGUCAAAGUUUUGGGUAAAUAGACCCGAACCGGUAAUUUGAUGGUCCCGAAAGGUCCGUAGGAAAAUAUGGGACUUGGGCGUAUACCCGGAAUCGAAUUCCGAGGUCCCAAGCCCGAGAAAUAAAUUUUUAAAGAAAAUUAUUUUCUUAAAUUAUUUAUGAGAUUUAGAAAUGAAUUGUGAUUAGAACUUGAUGGUAUCGGGCCGGUAUUUUGGUUCCGACGCCCGGUAUAUGUCUUAUAUGUGAUUUAAGAUAAUUCUGUGAAGUUUGGUAAGAAACGGACUAGAAACGACGUGAAUCGGAUCAUUUUUGAGAAAAUUAAAAAUUUGAAGUUCUUGAGAAAAUUUCAUGAUUUUGAUGCAAAAUUCAUAGUAGUUGAUAUUAUUUUAGUGAUUUGAAUGCACGAGCGAGUCCGUAUGAUGUUUUUAGGUUGGUGUGCAUAUUUGGUUUGGAGCCCCGAGGGCUCGGGUGAGUUUUGGAUAGGCCUCGGGGUGUAUUUUGGACUUUGAAAAUUGCAGGUUUUCAGCCGUUGCAUUGCAGGCCUGCAGGCUUCGCAUUUGCGAAGCCUGGCUCCCAAAUGCGAAAUCGCAAAUGCGAGAGGCCUGUCGCAAAUGCUAAAGAGGCCCAGGCCAGCCCAUUCUCGCAAUUGCGAGGGUUCUAUCGCAAAUGCAAUCCCCUCCCUUCCUAGCCAGUGGUCGCAAAUGCAACCCUAUCUUUGAAUUUUCCAGCUCGCCAAUGCGAGACCUUUUUCGCAAUUCCCAACUUAGCAGAGGUAUGGGUUCGCAAUUGUGAAUCCCUGUUCGCAUUUCCCAUACCUGCGACCUGCAACUUUUACACUUAGCCGAAAAUCAAUCAUUUUUCACAUCUUUUCAAAACACAAACUCCCUAGAGCGAUUUUUCAAGAACAACUCUUCUUCCAAAUCGAUUGUAAGUCAAUUUUAUCUCGUUUCCUUCAAUCAAUAACAUCUUUUAACAUAAUUUCAAUUCAAAAUCAUUGAUUUUCAUGGAGGAAAUUAGGUGUUUUGGGUAGAACCUAGAUUUUUCAAAAAUUGGGGAUUUGGACCUCGAUUUGAAGUCCGAUUUCAAAACGAAUUAUAUAUUUGGGGGAAUGGGUAAUCGGGUUUUGGUUCGAAUCUUGGGUUUUGACCAUGUGAGCCCGGGGGCAAUUUUUGACUUUUUGGGCAAAACUCUGGAAAACUCAUUUUUAUGCAUUCAAAUUGAUUCAUUUAGCGUUUAUUGAUGUAAUUAAAUAACUUGUGACUAGAUACGAGUGAAUUGGUGGUGGAAUCAAGGGGUAAAGCUAUAAUUGAAACGUGAAUUGUGUUUGUGGCAUCGAGAUAAGUGUUUGGUCUAACCUUAACUUGAGGGAUUAGGAGUCGAGUCCUAUUUGCUAUGUGUUAUUUGUCGAGUACUAUGUAUAGGCAUGGUGACGAGUAUCUAUACAUGGGUGUGAAGCAUGCCCGUGAGUCUUAUGUUGUGACUAUUAUGGCCUCAUUGUAUUAUUCAUGCUUUGAUGAUGAUUUCUAUUGUUGGGCAAAGUUUGUGGGAGUAAUUGUAACAUUUGAACAUUGAGGAGCAUUGGCUCGAGUUGUAUAAUGAAAUGUGAAAGUAUAAGUGGAAGUUGAACCUUUUACAGCAUUGGCUCAAAGAGGUGAACUGAGUUGUGAAGUAAAAGUGAAAAAGAUAAGAGAAUUAUUAUGUUAUCUACCUUGCCGGGAUAUUGUUGCUUUUAAUGUUAUCUCCCUUGCCGGGAUGUUGUUGUUGUUUUGAUGUUGUCCCUUACCAGGAUUUAUAUUGUAGUUUCAUUUAUUUCCUUGCCCUAAUUUUUGUGAUUGUUGUUUGGGUGAGAAAGAGAGUUAAAGCACGAAGGGUGAUGUCGUGUAAUGUUUGGUGAAAGAGUGUUAAAGCACGAAGGGUGAUAUCGUGUAUGAUUUGUGAGGAAAGAGUGUAAAGCACGAAGGGUGAUGUCGUGUUGCAUCAUGUACCAUUUUGUGUCGAUUAUAUUGAUUAUAUGGCGAGGAGGAGAGUAAAAGCACGAAGGUUGAUGACGUGCACAUUUUCAUUACUUGAUUGUUUUGGUGAGGACGAGAGUAAAAGCACGAAGGGUGAUGCCGUGCACUUAUUGAUUUCUGGGUCUUUGUUGUUAUCUGAGAUUUACUGUUUCCUUCAAUUACCUGUUGUCUUUCUAUUCUGAAUUGAUAUCUCCCCCGCAGCAUGCUACCGUUCCCAUAUUUGAUUGUUUAUUUCUGUUCUUCUUUUCCGUUAUAUUUAGUUGAAUUGUACAGGUUUAUGUGGUAGUCUGGUCCUAGCCUCAUCACUACUUCGCCGAGGUUAGGCUAGGCACUUACCAGCACAUGGGGUCGGUUGUGCUGAUACUACACUCUGGACUAUGUGCAGAUCUCGGGGCAGCUUUUGGACCGUAGAUUGGAUGGCUACCUUCAGUCCACGUGGAGAUCCAAGGUAGACCUGCAGGCGUCCGUAGGCCCUGC
Molecule: long non-coding RNA, 6350 nt
Filed under: Nicotiana tabacum (common tobacco)
Lineage: Eukaryota; Viridiplantae; Streptophyta; Magnoliopsida; Solanales; Solanaceae
Description: long non-coding RNA (NTAB_LNC001661)
Source: RNAcentral